CCCUAGUAACUGCGAGUGAAGCGGGAAAAGCUCAAAUUUGAAAUCUGGCGGUCUUUGGCCGUCCGAGUUGUAACCUGGAGGAGCGCUUUCCGCGCCGGACCGUGUACAAGUCUCCUGGAACGGAGCGUCAUAGAGGGUGAGAAUCCCGUCCAUGACACGGACGCCCGGUGCUUUGUGAUUGCGCCCCCGAAGAGUCGCGUUGUUUGGGAAUGCAGCGCAAAAUGGGUGGUAAAUUCCAUCUAAAGCUAAAUAUUGGCGAGAGACCGAUAGCGAACAAGUACCGUGAGGGAAAGAUGAAAAGCACUUUGGAAAGAGAGUUAAACAGUACGUGAAAUUGUUGAAAGGGAAACGCUUGAAGUCAGUCGCGUCGCACGGAACUCAGCCUGGCCUUGGCCUGGUGUACUUUCCGUGCGACGGGUCAACAUCAAUUUCGGGCGGCGGACAAGGGCGAGGGGAAUGUAGCGUCGCUUCGGCGGCGUGUUAUAGCCCCUUGUCGUAUACGCCGUGCGGGAUUGAGGACCGCAGCGCGCCCUUGUGGCCGGGGUUCGCCCACGUCACGCGCUUAGGAUGUUGGCAUAAUGGCUUUAAGCGACCCGUCUUGAAACACGGACCAAGGAGUCUAACAUGCUUGCGAGUGUUCGGGUGGAAAACCCUUGCGCGGAAUGAAAGUGAAAGUUGGGAGCCUCCGCGAGGGGGUGCACCGACGCCCGGCCCUGAAGUUCUCUGACGGUGCUGCGGUAGAGCAGGUGUGUUGGGACCCGAAAGAUGGUGAACUAUGCCUGAAUAGGGCGAAGCCAGAGGAAACUCUGGUGGAGGCUCGUAGCGAUUCUGACGUGCAAAUCGAUCGUCAAAUUUGGGUAUA
This 862-nucleotide ribosomal RNA is filed under the name Phellinotus piptadeniae. RNAcentral describes it as "LSU rRNA". It matches the Rfam family "Eukaryotic large subunit ribosomal RNA", at positions 78 to 919 of the family's 3401-position model. Lineage: Eukaryota; Fungi; Basidiomycota; Agaricomycetes; Hymenochaetales; Hymenochaetaceae. The record is from RNAcentral.